This 71-nucleotide transfer RNA is filed under the name Phytophthora infestans T30-4. RNAcentral's name for it is "tRNA-Pro". The record is from RNAcentral. Lineage: Eukaryota; Oomycota; Peronosporomycetes; Peronosporales; Peronosporaceae.
ACCCUUUUAGCUCAGUGGUUGAGCGUUGGCUUUGGAAGCCACAGGUUGGUCGAUCGAUUCACCCGGGCGCA